This 1352-nucleotide ribosomal RNA is filed under the name metagenome. RNAcentral's name for it is "bacterial LSU rRNA". It matches the Rfam family "Bacterial large subunit ribosomal RNA", at positions 1564 to 2925 of the family's 2925-position model. The record is from RNAcentral.
UGAGUGCGAGCUGCUACGGCAGCGAAGUUGGUGACGUCAAGCUUCCAAGAAAAGCCCUAUACCCGUUAAGGCAUCAUGGCCUGUACCCGAAACCGACACAGGUGGGGUGGUAGAGAAUACCGAGGGGCGCGAGGUAACUCUCUCUAAGGAACUCGGCAAAAUGGCCCCGUAACUUCGGGAGAAGGGGUGCCACCGCAAGGUGGUCGCAGUGAAGAGGCCCAGGCGACUGUUUACCAAAAACACAGGUCUCCGCUAAGUCGCAAGACGAUGUAUGGGGGCUGACGCCUGCCCAGUGCCGGAAGGUUAAGGAAGCUGGUCAGCGCAAGCGAAGCUAGCGACUGAAGCCCCGGUGAACGGCGGCCGUAACGAUAACGGUCCUAAGGUAGCGAAAUUCCUUGUCGGGUAAGUUCCGACCCGCACGAAAGGCGUAACGAUCUGGGCGCUGUCUCGGAGAGAGGCUCGGCGAAAUAGAAUUGUCUGUGAAGAUGCGGACUACGUGCACCCGGACAGAAAGACCCUAUGAAGCUUUACUGUAGCUUGGUAUUGUGCCCGGGCUCUGAAUGCGCAGGAUAGGUGGGAGGCUUUGAUCAUCGGCUUGCGGGUCGAUGUGAGCCAACGGUGAGAUACCACUCUUUCAGAGCUAGGGUUCUAACAGUCACCCGUUAUCCGGGGACUGGACAGUAUCAGGUGGGCAGUUUGACUGGGGCGGUCGCCUCCUAAAAGGUAACGGAGGCGCGCAAAGGUCUGCUCAGGCUGGUUGGAAAUCAGCCGACGAGUGUAAAAGCAGAAGCAGGCUUGACUGUGAGACCUACAAGUCGAACAGGGAGGAAACUCGGCUUUAGUGAUCCGACGGUUCUGCGUGGAAGGGCCGUCGCUCAACGGAUAAAAGUUACUCUAAGGAUAACAGGCUGAUCUCCCCCAAGAGUUCACAUCGACGGGGAGGUUUGGCACCUUGAUGUCGGCUCAUCGCAACCUGGGGCUGAAGUCGGUCCCAAGGGUUGGGCUGUUCGCCCAUUAAAGCGGUACGCGAGCUGGGUUCAGAACGUCGUGAGACAGUUCGGUCCAUAUCCGGUGCAUGCGCAGGAAUAUUGAGAGGAGUUCUCCCUAGUACGAGAGGACCGGGAGGAACGCACCUCUGGUGUACCAGUUAUCGUGCCAACGGUAAACGCUGGGUAGCCAUGUGCGGAGAGGAUAACCGCUGAAAGCAUCUAAGUGGGAAGCCCACCUCAAGAUGAGUAUUCCCAUGGCGUUAGCCAGUAAGGUCACGGGAAGAACAUCCGUUGAUAGGCUCUAUGUGGAAGCGCAGUAAUGCGUGAAGCAGAGGAGUACUAAUAGACCGAGGGCUUGACCUA